This 64-nucleotide transfer RNA is filed under the name Hemerobius spodipennis. RNAcentral describes it as "tRNA-Tyr". Lineage: Eukaryota; Metazoa; Arthropoda; Insecta; Neuroptera; Hemerobiidae. The record is from RNAcentral.
GGUAAAAUGGCUGACAAUAGGCAAUAAACUGUAAAUUUAUUUAUGAGAUUAGUCUCUUUUACUA